Molecule: long non-coding RNA, 380 nt
Filed under: Sorghum bicolor (sorghum)
Lineage: Eukaryota; Viridiplantae; Streptophyta; Magnoliopsida; Poales; Poaceae
Description: long non-coding RNA (SBIC_LNC004724)
Source: RNAcentral
GCGCCGUUGCUGGGGAGAAAGACGGUUUGCUGAGAUAACUUUAAGUCUUGCUAUUAUCUUGUAUUAUACUUUUAUACUUUUAUUCUUUUAUCUUUUUAUUUUUUCCAUCUUUAUGGAUAACUUAAAUUCCAUACCUAUUAUUGAAUUCUUUGCACCUUCGGAGACCAGCCAUAGACCAUGGGAGUCAACAAGUCCUGCCCCUAAUUAUGAUCUGUGUCCGGAGUUGAUUGCAAUAGGUCAAAACCAACCCUUUUCUAUAGCCGGGGUCCUAUCUUUUAAUCAAGAAGAUAAUGAACUUUUAGCUACACCUAGGGAAUCUUUUAAUCUUUCUAUAAAUUCUGGUUUAAACCUAGCACUACAAGAUCAUGUUUGUCCACGAU